RNAcentral lists this ribosomal RNA (829 nucleotides) under uncultured delta proteobacterium. RNAcentral's name for it is "bacterial SSU rRNA". It matches the Rfam family "Bacterial small subunit ribosomal RNA", at positions 91 to 894 of the family's 1533-position model. The record is from RNAcentral. Lineage: Bacteria; Deltaproteobacteria.
UAGAGCGGCGCACGGGUGAGUAACGCGUGGGUAACCUGCCCCCGGGCGGGGGAUAACUACUCGAAAGGGUGGCUAAUACCGCAUGAGACCACGGGGUCUUCGGGCCCCGAGGCCAAAGGCGGCGCCGGCUUGCCGGCGCUGUCACCUGGGGAUGGGCCCGCGUACGAUUAGCUUGUUGGCGGGGUAACGGCCCACCAAGGCUACGAUCGUUAGCUGGUCUGAGAGGAUGGCCAGCCACACUGGAACUGAAACACGGCCCAGACUCCUACGGGAGGCAGCAGUGAGGAAUAUUGCGCAAUGGGGGAAACCCUGACGCAGCAACGCCGCGUGGGUGAAGAAGGCCUUCGGGUCGUAAAGCCCUUUCGGACGGGACGAACGCUUCGCGAGGACAAUCCGCGAAGCCUGACGGUACCGUAAGAAGAAGCACCGGCUAACUCCGUGCCAGCAGCCGCGGUAAUACGGAGGGUGCAAGCGUUGUUCGAAAUUACUGGGCGUAAAGCGCGUGUAGGCGGCCCUGUAAGUCAGAUGUGAAAGCCCUCGGCUUAACCGGGGAAGCGCAUCUGAAACUGCUUGGCUUGAGUACCGGAGAGGGAGGCGGAAUUCCCAGUGUAGAGGUGAAAUUCGUAGAUAUUGGGAGGAACACCGGUGGCGAAAGCGGCCUCCUGGACGGAUACUGACGCUGAGACGCGAAAGCGUGGGGAGCAAACAGGAUUAGAUACCCUGGUAGUCCACGCGGUAAACGAUGGGCACUAGGUGUGGGGGGUAUCCACUCCUCCUGUGCCGAAGCUAACGCAUUAAGUGCCCCGCCUGGGGAGUACGGCCGCAAGGU